GACGAACGCUGGCGGCGUGCUUAACACAUGCAAGUCGAACGGAAGGCCCUGCUUUUGUGGGGUGCUCGGGUGGCGAACGGGUGAGUAACACGUGAGUAACCUUCCCUUGUCUUUGGGAUAACUUCAGGAAACUGGGGCUAAUACCGGAUAGGAGCUCCUUCUGCAUGGUGGGGUUUGGAAAGUUUCGGCGGUUGGGGAUGGACUCGCGGCUUAUCAGCUUGUUGGUGGGGUAGUGGCUUACCAAGGCUUUGACGGGUAGCCGGCCUGGGAGGGUGACCGGCCACAUUGGGACUGAGGUACGGGCCAGAGGCAUACGGGAGGCAGCAGUGGAGAGUAUUGCACAAUGGGCGGAAGCCUGAUGCAGCAACGCCGGGUGCGGGAUGACGGCCUUAGGGUUGUAAACCGCGUUCGCCUGUGACGAAGAGUGAGUGACGGUAAUGGAUAAAGAAGCACCGGCUAACUACGUG
This 467-nucleotide ribosomal RNA is filed under the name uncultured bacterium. RNAcentral's name for it is "partial 16S ribosomal RNA". It matches the Rfam family "Bacterial small subunit ribosomal RNA", at positions 28 to 507 of the family's 1533-position model. The record is from RNAcentral.